Molecule: ribosomal RNA, 430 nt
Filed under: uncultured bacterium
Lineage: Bacteria
Description: partial 16S ribosomal RNA
Rfam family: Bacterial small subunit ribosomal RNA
Source: RNAcentral
GUGGGGAAUAUUGCACAAUGGGCGCAAGCCUGAUGCAGCGACGCCGCGUGAGGGAUGGAGGCCUUCGGGUUGUAAACCUCUUUUAUCGGGGAGCAAGCGAGAGUGAGUUUACCCGUUGAAUAAGCACCGGCUAACUACGUGCCAGCAGCCGCGGUAAUACGUAGGGUGCAAGCGUUAUCCGGAAUUAUUGGGCGUAAAGGGCUCGUAGGCGGUUCGUCGCGUCCGGUGUGAAAGUCCAUCGCUUAACGGUGGAUCCGAGCCGGGUACGGGCGGGCUUGAGUGCGGUAGGGGAGACUGGAAUUCCCGGUGUAACGGUGGAAUGUGUAGAUAUCGGGAAGAACACCAAUGGCGAAGGCAGGUCUCUGGGCCGUUACUGACGCUGAGGAGCGAAAGCGUGGGGAGCGAACAGGAUUAGAAACCCCUGUAGUCC